UGGUGGAGUGAUUUGUCUGGUUGAUUCCGUUAACGAACGAGACCUUAACCUGCUAAAUAGUUACGCAUAACUUCGGUUAUGCGGGCAACUUCUUAGAGGGACUUUGUAUGUCUAAUGCAAGGAAGUUUGAGGCAAUAACA
Molecule: ribosomal RNA, 140 nt
Filed under: uncultured eukaryote
Lineage: Eukaryota
Description: partial 18S ribosomal RNA
Rfam family: Eukaryotic small subunit ribosomal RNA
Source: RNAcentral